This 758-nucleotide long non-coding RNA is filed under the name Homo sapiens (human). RNAcentral's name for it is "HSALNT0099054". Lineage: Eukaryota; Metazoa; Chordata; Mammalia; Primates; Hominidae. The record is from RNAcentral.
CGCGCUUUUGUCCCGCUGGCGGCCGGGUUCCCGCGGCGCCGCCACAGCCAGUGUGAAUAGAGACCCCGGAGGUGCGUCCUAGCCCUCAUCUGGGGAAGCGCACCUGCAUACAGACGGGUGCACCGGGGAGGAGGCGACCUGCCGCGUGUUCCUGCAAGCAGAAAAGGAGUUAACUAGUGUCACAUUUGAAGACGAGCACUGAGGAUGAGGAACCAACUGAAGAAUAUGAAAAUGUUGGAAAUGCAGCAUCUAAGUGGCCAAAAGUGGAGGAUCCUAUGCCUGAAUCUAAGUUUCAGAUGAACUCCCAUAAUGAAUGAUGAAUUUGUGAUGAGGGAUAACCUGGAAGUGGUAUUCACACAUUAUGCUACAAUAAAAGGUUCUACCGUGGAGAGGAUUUUGACACAUUCAGUAACUAAUGGAACACACCGUCAACAUGAAUUCGCACCUUACAUGACAGAAGUGAUUCAGGGAUUCCUAUGAAUAGAAAUGCUGAGAAGGAACGCAUUUUAUUGCAGAAGCUAAAAAGCUAAAGUACCAGUCAUCUAGAGAGAAGGAAAUUAAUGUUUCUUAAUAAUCCUGUUAAAUGUUUGAUUGUUUUUGGAAUGUGUUAUUGUAAAGAUGUCAUGCAGGACAUGUAUAUGUUGUCUGUUGUAAAAUGUUAACGAAUACUUUGUUCAGGGCUCACUCUCUCUUUGUCAUGAAAGCCAGCUCCUUGUGGCGAGGUAAAGUGGAAUUCCAAUAAAGAAAUUCCUUAAAUC